Molecule: ribosomal RNA, 468 nt
Filed under: uncultured bacterium
Lineage: Bacteria
Description: partial 16S ribosomal RNA
Rfam family: Bacterial small subunit ribosomal RNA
Source: RNAcentral
GACGAACGCUGGCGGCGUGCUUAACACAUGCAAGUCGAACGGAAAGGCCCUGCUUUUGUGGGGUGCUCGCGUGGCGAACGGGUGAGUAACACGUGAGUAACCUGCCCUUGACUUUGGGAUAACUUCAGGAAACUGGGGCUAAUACCGGCUAGGAGCUCCUGCUGCAUGGGGGGGGUUGGACAGUUUGGGCUGUUGGGGAUGGACUGGGGGCUUAUGAGCUUGUUGGUGGGGUAGUUGCUUACCCAGGGUUUGACGGGUAGCCGGCCUGGGAGGGUGGACAGGGACCAGAGGACUGAGGGACGGCGCAGACGCGAACGGGGGACAACAGGGGGGAGUAUUGCACAGUGGGCCGAAGUCUGAUGCAGAAACGCCGCGUGCGGGAUGACGGCCUUCGGGGUGUAAACCGCUUUCGCCUGUGACGAAGCGGGAGUGACGGUAAUGGGUAAAGAAGCACCGGCUAACUACGUG